GCUAUGGGUCCUAUGUAAUUCCGGCUCACAGAUUGCAAUUCCUAUGGCUUCCAGUAGAUGUCAUCAGUCUUUAUUCAAUGUUUCAGGCUUGUUUUUUGAAAAACAAGCAAGAAUUUUGAGUUUUGGUGAAGAGAGCACCGGAACAAUAUCAGUCUUUCGGCGCACUUACUAAUUUUACUUUCCUAUUGAACAUACUACUUUCCGUAUGAAAUAUUAUUGUUUAUUUACAUUUUAGCGUACCUGAGGAUUAAAUAGAAACUUGUUUGACUUGUUUGGACAAAGUCUAGAAGUAUCUUUUUGGACUCCUUUGUCUGCAUGUUGAACGAGUGGAUUACUGAAAUCGAUGGCGCCAACUAAACAGACUUUUGGGGAUAAAAAUAAGGAUUUUAUCUAACAAAAUGACCAUUCAUGAUGUAGCUGGGAACCUUGGGAUUGCAAACAGAGGAGGAUUUUCAAAAUGGAGGAGUUGGGCACUUCUCCAACACAAUCCAUUCAUCCAUGAUGAUCCUUUUUCUGCACCGAAGACUCUGAACACCUCAACCCCCUGUCCUGCACUGAAGUCAAGCCUCUGAACAACUCUACUCAUUCCAGCAAUCGCUGCUGCCCUUACCAACACUGCCGUCUUGAAACUCAACUCAGGAAGCUCAGUAGACAACACUCUGCAGGCUUCUCACCCUAGAAAAACAGGAGCACAGUUGCAGACGGUAGCAACAAGAUGAAGCGCUGCGAUGUGUGUGGACCCAAGGACAGGAAGACACAGUACACAUUCAUCAAGUGCAAGAAAUACAUUUGCAUCACAAACACAGUAAAACUCUGUCCCUCAUGUGGUGUGUAGACCGGCGUUAACUUUUGUUCAAUG
Molecule: long non-coding RNA, 859 nt
Filed under: Salmo salar (Atlantic salmon)
Lineage: Eukaryota; Metazoa; Chordata; Actinopteri; Salmoniformes; Salmonidae
Description: lncRNA (ENSSSAG00000090953.1)
Source: RNAcentral